RNAcentral lists this ribosomal RNA (402 nucleotides) under uncultured bacterium. Its description in RNAcentral is "bacterial SSU rRNA". It matches the Rfam family "Bacterial small subunit ribosomal RNA", at positions 355 to 774 of the family's 1533-position model. The record is from RNAcentral.
UGGGGAAUCUUGGACAAUGGGCGCAAGCCUGAUCCAGCCAUGCCGCGUGAGUGAAGAAGGCCUUAGGGUUGUAAAGCUCUUUUGCCAGGUACGAUAAUGACGGUACCUGGAGAAUAAGCCCCGGCAAACUUCGCGCCAGCAGCCGCGGUAAUACGCAGGGGGCUAGCGUUGUUCGGAUUUACUGGGCGUAAAGCGCACGUAGGCGGGUCGUUAAGUCAGGGGUGAAAUCCCGGAGCUCAACUCCGGAACUGCCUUUGAUACUGCAAAGCUGGAGUGCGGCAGAAGGGAAUGGAAUUCCUCGUGUAGCAGUAAAAUGCGUAGAUAUGCGGAGGAACACCGAUGGCGAAGGCAAUACCCUGGGCCUGCACUGACGCCCAUGCACGAAAGCGUGGGGAGCAAACA